GACGAACGCUGGCGGCGUGCUUAACACAUGCAAGUCGAACGGAAAGGCCCUGCUUUUGUGGGGUGCUCGCGUCGCGAACGGGUGAGUAACCCGUGAGUAACCUGCCCUUGACUUUGUGAUGACCUCAGGAAACCGGGGCUAAUACCUGAUAGGAGCUCCUGCUGCAUGGUGGGGGUUGGAAAGUUUCGGCGGAUGUGGAUGGGUUCGCGGCUUAUUAGCUUGUUGGUGGGGGAGUUGCUUACCAAGGCGUUGACGGGUAGCCGGCCUGAGAGGGUGACCGGCCACACUGGGACUGAGAGACGGCACAGACUGCUACGGGAGGCAGCAGGGGGGAAGAUUGCACAAGGGGCGGAGGCCGGAUGAAGAAACGCCGCGUGCGGGAUGGCGGCCUUCGGGGUGUAAACCGCUUUCGACUGUGACGAAGCGUGAGUGACGGUAAUGGGUAGAGAAGCAACGGCUAACUACGUG
This 468-nucleotide ribosomal RNA is filed under the name uncultured bacterium. RNAcentral describes it as "partial 16S ribosomal RNA". It matches the Rfam family "Bacterial small subunit ribosomal RNA", at positions 28 to 507 of the family's 1533-position model. The record is from RNAcentral.